This 301-nucleotide ribosomal RNA is filed under the name uncultured bacterium. Its description in RNAcentral is "partial 16S ribosomal RNA". It matches the Rfam family "Bacterial small subunit ribosomal RNA", at positions 509 to 809 of the family's 1533-position model. The record is from RNAcentral.
CAGUCGCCACGGUAAUACGUAGGUGGCAAGCGUUGUCCGGAAUUAUUGGGCGUAAAGGGCUCGCAGGCGGUUUCUUAAGUCUGAUGUGAAAGCCCCCGGCUCAACCGGGGAGGGUCAUUGGAAACUGGGAAACUUGAGUGCAGAAGAGGAGAGUGGAAUUCCACGUGUAGCGGUGAAAUGCGUAGAGAUGUGGAGGAACGCCAGUGGCGAAGGCGACUCUCUGGUCUGUAACUGACGCUGAGGAGCGAAAGCGUGGGGAGCGAACAGGAUUAGAUACCCGGGUAGUCCCUGUCUCUUAUAU